GAUGAACGCUAGCUACAGGCUUAACACAUGCAAGUCGAGGGGAAACGGCAUUAAGUGCUUGCACUUUUUGGACGUCGACCGGCGCACGGGUGAGUAACGCGUAUCCAACCUUCCCAUGACUAAGGGAUAACCUGCCGAAAGGCAGACUAAUACCUUAUGGUCUUCACUGACGGCAUCAGAUGUGAAGUAAAGAUUUAUCGGUUAUGGAUGGGGAUGCGUCUGAUUAGCUUGUUGGCGGGGUAACGGCCCACCAAGGCAACGAUCAGUAGGGGUUCUGAGAGGAAGGUCCCCCACAUUGGAACUGAGACACGGUCCAAACUCCUACGGGAGGCAGCAGUGAGGAAUAGUGGUCAAUGGGCGAGAGCCUGAACCAGCCAAGUAGCGUGCAGGAUGACGGCCCUAUGGGUUGUAAACUGCUUUUGUAUGGGGAUAAAGUCAAUCACGUGUGAUUGUUUGCAGGUACCAUACGAAUAAGGACCGGCGAAUUCCGU
Molecule: ribosomal RNA, 491 nt
Filed under: uncultured bacterium
Lineage: Bacteria
Description: partial 16S ribosomal RNA
Rfam family: Bacterial small subunit ribosomal RNA
Source: RNAcentral